Molecule: ribosomal RNA, 497 nt
Filed under: uncultured bacterium
Lineage: Bacteria
Description: partial 16S ribosomal RNA
Rfam family: Bacterial small subunit ribosomal RNA
Source: RNAcentral
GAUGAACGCUGGCGGCGUGCCUAAUACAUGCAAGUCGAGCGAACAGACGAGGAGCUUGCUCCUUUGACGUUAGCGGCGGACGGGUGAGUAACACGUAGGUAACCUACCUAUAAGACUGGGAUAACUUCGGGAAACCGGAGCUAAUACCGGAUAAUAUUUCGAACCGCAUGGUUGAUAGGUAAAGGAGGGUUUUCUUUUCACUUUAGGAUGGACUGGCGCCGUAUUAGCUAGUUGGUAAGGUAACGGCUUACCAAGGCAACGAUACGUAGCCGACCUGAGAGGGUGAUCGGCCACACUGGAACUGAGACACGGUCCAGACUCCUACGGGAGGCAGCAGUAGGGAAUCUUCCGCAAUGGGCGAAAGCCUGACGGAGCAACGCCGCGUGAGUGAUGAAGGUCUUCGGAUCGUAAAACUCUGUUAUUAGGGAAGAACAAACGUGUAAGUAACUGUGCACGUCUUGACGGUACCUAAUCAGAAAGCCACGGCUAACUACGUG